UACGGAGGGAGCUAGCGUUAUUCGGAAUUACUCGGCGUAAAGCGCACGUAGGCGGCUUUGUAAGUAAGAGGUGAAAGCCCAGAGCUCAACUCCGGAACUGCCUUUAAGACUGCAUCGCUUGAAUCCAGGAGAGGUGAGUGGAAUUCCGAGUGUAGAGGUGAAAUUCGUAGAUAUUCGGAAGAACACCAGUGGCGAAGGCGGCUCACUGGACUGGUAUUGACGCUGAGGUGCGAAAGCGUGGGGAGCAAACAGG
RNAcentral lists this ribosomal RNA (253 nucleotides) under uncultured bacterium. RNAcentral describes it as "partial 16S ribosomal RNA". It matches the Rfam family "Bacterial small subunit ribosomal RNA", at positions 524 to 776 of the family's 1533-position model. The record is from RNAcentral.